AUCUUCCGCAAUGGACGAAAGUCUGACGGAGCAACGCCGCGUGAGUGAUGAAGGCUUUCGGGUCGUAAAACUCUGUUGUUAGGGAAGAACAAGUACAAGAGUAACUGCUUGUACCUUGACGGUACCUAACCAGAAAGCCACGGCUAACUACGUGCCAGCAGCCGCGGUAAUACGUAGGUGGCAAGCGUUAUCCGGAAUUAUUGGGCGUAAAGCGCGCGCAGGCGGUUUCUUAAGUCUGAUGUGAAAGCCCACGGCUCAACCGUGGAGGGUCAUUGGAAACUGGGGAACUUGAGUGCAGAAGAGAAAAGCGGAAUUCCACGUGUAGCGGUGAAAUGCGUAGAGAUGUGGAGGAACACCAGUGGCGAAGGCGGCUUUUUGGUCUGUAACUGACGCUGAGGCGCGAAAGCGUGGGGAGCAAACAGGAUUAGAUACCCUGGUAGUCCACGCCGUAAACGAUGAGUGCUAAGUGUUAGAGGGUUUCCGCCCUUUAGUGCUGCAGCUAACGCAUUAAGC
RNAcentral lists this ribosomal RNA (513 nucleotides) under Bacillus sp. (in: firmicutes). RNAcentral's name for it is "bacterial SSU rRNA". It matches the Rfam family "Bacterial small subunit ribosomal RNA", at positions 361 to 865 of the family's 1533-position model. Lineage: Bacteria; Bacillati; Bacillota; Bacilli; Caryophanales; Bacillaceae. The record is from RNAcentral.